CCCCACCCCGCCUCCGCCUCCGCCCCCGCCUCGCUGCCGGGUUUAGCGGCAUGUUGCCCGGCCGCCGCUGCCCGACGGUGGAAGAAGCGUGGCGGAGAAGCUGCUGCCGCCCGCCAGGACUGAGUUAGGUGGAAUAAACAACGGUGGCACUGCCCUGCCCUGCUGGUGCGGUUGUCUUUUGGGGAAGAGUUACUUCUAGCAGGUGCUUAAAAACAGCAUGGGAGCAGUGGUUAUGAUGUGCUGAUACUGGCUGCAAUCACGAUGAAAUUUCAGAGUUCAGAUUACCAUGAUCGUCUAUGUACCUCUAUUUCCAUUGGUGGGAUGACAUCAAGUGGCUUCUGCUACUGUGUGUACUUCAAGCACAAUGCAGCUGUGAACGCCCCAUGCCAGGCCCAGCCCAGAGGUGGAGAAAAGACAAGAUCCUGGUCAAGCGUAAGACAGAAGAGAGACAGAUGUUGGUGGCUAAUAUGGCCUGUUUUCCUCACCCGAGUGACUUCUUUCCCCUUUUCCAACCUUGAAUUCAACAGGAAUGGGAUUCAGGAGCAACAUACCAGGUUCAUCUGUUGA
This 567-nucleotide long non-coding RNA is filed under the name Apteryx owenii (little spotted kiwi). Its description in RNAcentral is "lncRNA (ENSAOWG00000016971.1)". Lineage: Eukaryota; Metazoa; Chordata; Aves; Apterygiformes; Apterygidae. The record is from RNAcentral.